RNAcentral lists this transfer RNA (73 nucleotides) under Ailuropoda melanoleuca (giant panda). It matches the Rfam family "tRNA". Rfam says of the family: Transfer RNA (tRNA) molecules are approximately 80 nucleotides in length. Lineage: Eukaryota; Metazoa; Chordata; Mammalia; Carnivora; Ursidae. The record is from Rfam by way of RNAcentral.
ACCUGGCUGCCUCAGUUGGUGGAGCACAUGACCCUUGAUCUUGGGGUUGUGGGUUCGAGCCCCACACUGGGUG